AUGAACGCUGGCGGCGUGCCUAAUCCCUGCCAGUCGAGCGAACAGACGAGGAGCUUGCUCCUCUGACGUUAGCGGCGGACGGGUGAGUAACACGUGGAUAACCUACCUAUAAGACUGGGAUAACUUCGGGAAACCGGAGCUAAUACCGGAUAAUAUAUUGAACCGCAUGGUUCAAUAGUGAAAGACGGUUUUGCUGUCACUUAUAGAUGGAUCCGCGCCGCAUUAGCUAGUUGGUAAGGUAACGGCUUACCAAGGCAACGAUGCGUAGCCGACCUGAGAGGGUGAUCGGCCACACUGGAACUGAGACACGGUCCAGACUCGUACGGGAGGCAGCAGUAGGGAAUCUUCCGCAAAGGGCGAAAGCCUGACGGAGCAACGCCGCGUGAGUGAUGAAGGUCUUCGGAUCGUAAAACUCUGUUAUUAGGGAAGAACAAAUGUGUAAGUAACUAUGCACGUCUUGACGGUACCUAAUCAGAAAGCCACGGCUAACUACGUG
Molecule: ribosomal RNA, 496 nt
Filed under: uncultured bacterium
Lineage: Bacteria
Description: partial 16S ribosomal RNA
Rfam family: Bacterial small subunit ribosomal RNA
Source: RNAcentral